UUUCGACCUGAGGUCAGGCAAGAACACCCGCUGAACUUAAGCAUAUCAAUAAGCGGAGGAAAAGAAACUAACUAGGAUUCC
This 81-nucleotide ribosomal RNA is filed under the name Trebouxia sp. 8 GS-2016. RNAcentral's name for it is "partial large subunit ribosomal RNA". It matches the Rfam family "Eukaryotic large subunit ribosomal RNA", at positions 1 to 78 of the family's 3401-position model. The record is from RNAcentral. Lineage: Eukaryota; Viridiplantae; Chlorophyta; Trebouxiophyceae; Trebouxiales; Trebouxiaceae.